UACGUAGGGUGCAAGCGUUAAUCGGAAUUACUGGGCGUAAAGCGUGCGCAGGCGGUUUUUGUAAGUCAGAUGUGAAAUCCCCGGGCUUAACCUGGGAACUGCGUUUGAAACUACAAGGCUAGAGUGUGGCAGAGGGGGGUGGAAUUCCACGUGUAGCAGUGAAAUGCGUAGAGAUGUGGAGGAACACCGAUGGCGAAGGCAGCCCCCUGGGUUAACACUGACGCUCAGGCACGAAAGCGUGGGGAGCAAACAGG
This 254-nucleotide ribosomal RNA is filed under the name uncultured bacterium. RNAcentral describes it as "partial 16S ribosomal RNA". It matches the Rfam family "Bacterial small subunit ribosomal RNA", at positions 524 to 776 of the family's 1533-position model. The record is from RNAcentral.